Molecule: transfer RNA, 63 nt
Filed under: Corvus brachyrhynchos (American crow)
Lineage: Eukaryota; Metazoa; Chordata; Aves; Passeriformes; Corvidae
Also listed under: 1 other name
Rfam family: tRNA
About the family: Transfer RNA (tRNA) molecules are approximately 80 nucleotides in length. Their secondary structure includes four short double-helical elements and three loops (D, anti-codon, and T loops).
Source: Rfam by way of RNAcentral
AUGAGCUCAGCUGGUCAGAGCAUGGUGCUGAUAAUGCCAAGGUCAUGGGUUUGAUCCCUAUAU